RNAcentral lists this unclassified non-coding RNA (346 nucleotides) under soil metagenome. Its description in RNAcentral is "partial contains 5.8S ribosomal RNA, internal transcribed spacer 2, and large subunit ribosomal RNA". The stretch from base 1 to 119 matches the Rfam family "5.8S ribosomal RNA", at positions 35 to 154 of the family's 154-position model. The record is from RNAcentral.
GAUGAAGAACGUAGCGAAAUGCGAUACGUAAUGUGAAUUGCAAAUUCAGUGAAUCAUCGAGUCUUUGAACGCACAUUGCGCCCCCUGGUAUUCCGGGGGGCAUGCCUGUCCGAGCGUCAUUGCUGCCCUCAAGCACGGCUUGUGUGUUGGGCCCCGUCCUCCGAUCCCGGGGGACGGGCCCGAAAGGCAGCGGCGGCACCGCGUCCGGUCCUCGAGCGUAUGGGGCUUUGUCACCCGCUCUGUAGGCCCGGCCGGCGCUUGACGAUCAACCCAAAUUUUUUAUCCAGGUUGACCUCGGAUCAGGUAGGGAUACCCGCUGAACUUAAGCAUAUCAAUAAGCGGAGGA